RNAcentral lists this ribosomal RNA (305 nucleotides) under uncultured bacterium. Its description in RNAcentral is "partial 16S ribosomal RNA". It matches the Rfam family "Bacterial small subunit ribosomal RNA", at positions 334 to 653 of the family's 1533-position model. The record is from RNAcentral.
AACUCCUCCGGGGGGCCGCAGUGGGGGAUAUUGGACAAUGGGGGAAACCCUGAUCCCGCGACGCCGCGUGAGUGAAGAAGUAUUUCGGUAUGUAAAGCUCUGUCAGCAGGGAAGAAAGAAAUGACGGUACCUGACCAAGAAGCCCCGGCUAACUACGUGCCAGCAGCCGCGGUAAUACGUAGGGGGCAAGCGUUAUCCGGAAUUACUGGGUGUAAAGGGAGCGUAGACGGUGAUGCAAGUCUGGAGUGAAAGGCGGGGGCCCAACCCCCGGACUGCUCUGGAAACUGGGGAACUUGAGUGCAGGG